AAGGCAGGUAAAAACUAAGUGAAUCUGAGUACUUAAUUAAUUACACAUAUAUUGAUUCCAUCCUACUCUAGUGUAGAACCCAAAAUAUCAAUUAUUGAACUAAAUCAAAAAUCUAGAACUGAUCUGCAAAAUAAACUUGUCGAACACAUAUGAAAUCAACAAACAACAAAGAAAACAAGCUAGCAACCUAUUUCAAAUCGCAACCACGAAAGCAAAAUCGCAAACAACAGAGAAGGGGAGGAAAGAUAGACCCGAAUUAUUUUCAAAUAUAUUUUGAUCUCCGACGAUUACAAGUUAAUGAGGAUUCCAGCGAUUGAAUGCAAAAAGAAGAUGAGAAAACAGCAGCAACAAGAUAGAGCAGAGACCGCGAACCAAAUCAGAACGACAAACGGAACUCAAGCAGCACAGUAAAACUCGAACCAACAACAACUCGAAUAACAUCCACAACAGCCGGAAGUUGAAAUCAGAAAAGACAAUUGAAACCUACUAUUUUUGUUCGAUAUUCUAGUACAUUAAGAAGCAACAAAAAAAAUGAAUCAGUACACAAAGAGACCCUUUUCUUUUUUUGUCCGAAAUCUAUCUGAAGUUCAUCUCCACACUGUGUUUUUUAGGUCCCUCCCCUCCCGAUCUGUGUGCGCGUAUAUGUUUUUUCGGUUGACAGCAAGACGAUGAUGAAAUCCGGCGAGCUGCUGGCUUGUGAAGGUUAAAGGCACGGCAACUGUGUGUUUGGAGUAAGGUUAUCGCUGGUGGCUGAAGGGAGGGGUGAACUCGUUUGGUCGUUUAGCUGUUGUCUGUUGCUUGUCUCCGAUGGUUGUGAUGGUCCGCGAGAGUGGUGGAGCAAGGAGAAUGGGCGACGUUGAUCUUCUCGUCUUAAGGGAGAAGGGUUGUUGGACUGGGUUGAACAGUCUGAAAUUGGGCCUCUUUUUGGGUUGAUGCAAUUUAUGACAUUAAUUAGCCUAAAACACUAUUUUCCCCUUCUAAUGUAAUAUAAAAUCUAAACUAUAUAAUACAAAAUUAAUUUUAAUU
Molecule: long non-coding RNA, 1026 nt
Filed under: Nicotiana benthamiana
Lineage: Eukaryota; Viridiplantae; Streptophyta; Magnoliopsida; Solanales; Solanaceae
Description: long non-coding RNA (NBEN_LNC041477)
Source: RNAcentral